This is a long non-coding RNA of Suricata suricatta (meerkat), 371 nucleotides long. RefSeq lists it as uncharacterized. The record is from RefSeq and is a predicted model, not a curated record. The transcript has 3 exons. Lineage: Eukaryota; Metazoa; Chordata; Mammalia; Carnivora; Herpestidae.
GAGAAUAUGUUUCCUGGUUAACAGAAUGCAUGUAUGUUUAAAAGAAGCCACCUAAAAGGCAAAAAUUACCAACUUUGUGGAUUUUACACAGACUCAAAAAAAAUUAAGAAGCAGUAUUCGAAUGACUGAAGUUCUGGAGAAAAUGACAGCAAACACUCCCUGUGUCUGAAUGAGAGGGGAGUCAGUGAAUCAAUCAGCAAAAGGUUGGACCCAUAUUCAACUGAAUCACGCCAGAGCCUGCACAGCCAAGGAAAACUGGAUGGUGUCGUCUUUGUAGCACACCAGACAAUUUUGCAGUGUGGAUAAUGGAGCAUGCAGUUUCUUAGAAUGCUAUAUGAGCCUUAAACUGAUUGGAGAUGCUGAACUUUGUG